GAUGAACGCUGGCGGCGUGCCUAAUACAUGCAAGUCGAGCGAACAGACGAGGAGCUUGCUCCUCUUACGUUAGCGGCGGACGGGUGAGUAACACGUGGAUAACCGACCUAUAAGACUGGGAUAACUUCGGGAAACCGGAGCUAGUACCGGAUAAUAUAGUGAACCGCAUGGUUCAAUAGUGAAAGACGGUUUUGCUGUCACUUAUAGAUGUAUCCGCGCCGCAUUAGCUAGUUGGUAAGGUAACGGCUUACCAAGGCAACGAUGCGUAGCCGACCUGAGAGGGUGAUCAGCCACACUGGAACUGAGACACGGUCCAGACUCCUACGGGAGGCAGCAGUAGGGAAUAUUCCGCAAUGGGCGAAAGCCUGACGGAGCCACGCCGCGUGAGUGAUGAAGGUCUUCGGAUCGUAAAACUCUGUUAUUAGGGAAGAACAAAUGUGUAAGUAACUAUGCACGUCUUGACGGUACCUAAUCAGAAAGCCACGGCUAACUACGUG
RNAcentral lists this ribosomal RNA (497 nucleotides) under uncultured bacterium. Its description in RNAcentral is "partial 16S ribosomal RNA". It matches the Rfam family "Bacterial small subunit ribosomal RNA", at positions 28 to 507 of the family's 1533-position model. The record is from RNAcentral.